AGAGUUUGAUCAUGGCUCAGAUUGAACGCUGGCGGCAUGCCUAACACAUGCAAGUCGAACGGCAGCACAGAGGAGCUUGCUCCUUGGGUGGCGAGUGGCGGACGGGUGAGUAAUGCAUCGGGAUCUACCCUGACGUGGGGGAUAACCUCGGGAAACCGGGACUAAUACCGCAUACGUCCUACGGGAGAAAGCGGGGGACCUUCGGGCCUCGCGCGGCAGGACGAACCGAUGUGCGAUUAGCUAGUUGGCGGGGUAAUGGCCCACCAAGGCGACGAUCGCUAGCUGGUCUGAGAGGAUGAUCAGCCACACUGGGACUGAGACACGGCCCAGACUCCUACGGGAGGCAGCAGUGGGGAAUAUUGGACAAUGGGCGCAAGCCUGAUCCAGCAAUGCCGCGUGUGUGAAGAAGGCCUUCGGGUUGUAAAGCACUUUUAUCAGGAGCGAAAUACCACGGGUUAAUACCCUAUGGGGCUGACGGUACCUGAGGAAUAAGCACCGGCUAACUUCGUGCCAGCAGCCGCGGUAAUACGAAGGGUGCAAGCGUUAAUCGGAAUUACUGGGCGUAAAGGGUGCGUAGGCGGUUACUUAAGUCUGUCGUGAAAUCCCCGGGCUCAACCUGGGAAUGGCGAUGGAUACUGGGUGGCUAGAGUGUGUCAGAGGAUGGUGGAAUUCCCGGUGUAGCGGUGAAAUGCGUAGAGAUCGGGAGGAACAUCAGUGGCGAAGGCGGCCAUCUGGGACAACACUGACGCUGAAGCACGAAAGCGUGGGGAGCAAACAGGAUUAGAUACCCUGGUAGUCCA
Molecule: ribosomal RNA, 800 nt
Filed under: uncultured bacterium
Lineage: Bacteria
Description: bacterial SSU rRNA
Rfam family: Bacterial small subunit ribosomal RNA
Source: RNAcentral